AGCCCUAAACAAAUGAACCCUCGCCCCCAACCAUUUUCCAUUUUCUCUCAAACCAAACCCCCUUUGCAACCCUAAAAACCCAAGGCCUCCGCGACCUCCGCCGUUCAACGGCUCUGAUGAGGAGUCACACAAUCGUUAAAUUUAUCCCAUAAACCUUGAACCCUAAAGCAAUGAUUCUCUCCUGACAGAACCCAAAACCUAAAGGGUUAAACUAAUCAAAAACCUUACUUUUCACUGCCUUAGCCUCCCACAAACCUAGAUCUACGAUGGUAAAGCGUUUACCUUCAAGAAAAGAGGCGACUAUACUCCGAUGGACAAGGUUUUGGACACUAUCGAGGGGCAUGGGUGCGAGCAAGAGCAGCAUGGACGACGGUGGUUGUGACCUCGGUCUCGGUGGAUGGCCGACAGGCGUGGAUCUUCCUCGAUAAGUUCAUACACUGUCUCGGGUUCUCUGUGCACGCUGGCUUGAGGCUCGAGGAGGACUAGGAGCCGUUGGAUUUCGUCAGAUCCGACGGUGGUGGGCGGCGCUGGAACUUUGACCAGAACCCUAGUGGGCCUUUGAUCUGGACCGUUAGAUGAGAAACUGAUCCAAUGGUCCAGGGCCAGCGGCGGCUGGGCACUUGAAGCUGACACAGGAAAACUCUAAUGGGUUUAGGGCUUACAUCAAACAGGUUGCAUCAUUGGGCCGCUGUGGUUUGGGCUCUGCUCGGGCCAGUUUGGUCCAACUUGUUGUAAUUUGGACUGUAACUAAAACAAAUAAAACACUAAUUAGUCUUUAUUUA
This is a long non-coding RNA of Hibiscus syriacus, 782 nucleotides long. RefSeq lists it as uncharacterized. The transcript has 2 exons. The record is from RefSeq and is a predicted model, not a curated record. Lineage: Eukaryota; Viridiplantae; Streptophyta; Magnoliopsida; Malvales; Malvaceae.